RNAcentral lists this ribosomal RNA (784 nucleotides) under Tolypocladium sp. RG-2013a. RNAcentral describes it as "eukaryotic LSU rRNA". The stretch from base 492 to 784 matches the Rfam family "Eukaryotic large subunit ribosomal RNA", at positions 1 to 322 of the family's 3401-position model. Lineage: Eukaryota; Fungi; Ascomycota; Sordariomycetes; Hypocreales; Ophiocordycipitaceae. The record is from RNAcentral.
UACCGAGUUAUCAACUCCCAAACCCCUGUGAACAUACCUUUAACGUUGCCUCGGCGGGACCGCCCCGGCGCCCACUCGCGGCCCGGACCCAGGCGCCCGCCGGAGGACCCAAACUCUUGCUUUGAACAGUGGCAUACUCUCUGAGUCUCACAAACAAAAAUGAAUCAAAACUUUCAACAACGGAUCUCUUGGCUCUGGCAUCGAUGAAGAACGCAGCGAAAUGCGAUAAGUAAUGUGAAUUGCAGAAUUCAGUGAAUCAUCGAAUCUUUGAACGCACAUUGCGCCCGCCAGCAUUCUGGCGGGCAUGCCUGUCCGAGCGUCAUUUCAACCCUCAGGACCCCUUCGGGGGACCUGGUGUUGGGGGCCGGCCGCCUCGCGCGCCGCCCCCGAAAUGCAGUGGCGACCUCGCCGCAGCCUCCCCUGCGUAGUAGCACAACCUCGCACCGGAGCGCGGAGACGGUCACGCCGUAAAACGCCCAACUUUCACGAGUUGACCUCGGAUCAGGUAGGAAUACCCGCUGAACUUAAGCAUAUCAAUAAGCGGAGGAAAAGAAACCAACAGGGAUUGCCAGUAACGGCGAGUGAAGCGGCAACAGCUCAAAUUUGAAAUCUGGGAGUUGUAAUUUGCAGAGGAUGCUUUUGGCGCGGUGCCUUCCGAGUUUGGAACGGGACUAGAGGGUGAGAGCCCGUCUGGUCGGACCAGCCAGUGUAAAGCUCUUCGACGAGUCGAGUAGUUUGGGAAUGCUGCUCUAAAUGGGAGGUAUAUGUCUUCUAAAGCUAAAUA